CUACGUGCCAGCAGCCGCGGUAAUGCGUAGGGUGCGAGCGUUGUCCGGAAUUAUUGGGCGUAAAGGGCUUGUAGGCGGUUUGUCGCGUCUGCCGUGAAAUCCUCUGGCUUAACUGGGGGCGUGCGGUGGGUACGGGCAGACUUGAGUGCGGUAGGGGAGACUGGAACUCCUGGUGUAGCGGUGGAAUGCGCAGAUAUCAGGAAGAACACCGGUGGCGAAGGCGGGUCUCUGGGCCGUUACUGACGCUGAGGAGCGAAAGCGUGGGGAGCGAACAGGAUUAGAUACCCUGGUAGUCCACGCUGUAAACGUUGGGCACUAGGUGUGGGGGCCACCCGUGGUUUCUGCGCCGUAGCUAACGCUUUAAGUGCCCCGCCUGGGGAGUACGGCCGCAAGGCUAAAACUCAAAGGAAUUGACGGGGGCCCGCACAAGCGGCGGAGCAUGCGGAUUAAUUCGAUGCAACGCGAAGAACCUUACCAAGGCUUGACAUGC
RNAcentral lists this ribosomal RNA (490 nucleotides) under uncultured bacterium. RNAcentral describes it as "bacterial SSU rRNA". It matches the Rfam family "Bacterial small subunit ribosomal RNA", at positions 501 to 989 of the family's 1533-position model. The record is from RNAcentral.